AGCGGCGAACGGGUGAGUAACGCGUGGGCAACCUGGCCUUAAGAAAAGGAUAGCCCCCGGAAACGGGGAGUAAUACUUUAUGAGAAUGAAAGAGGGCAUCCUACUUUCAUUCAAAGCGCAAGCGCUUAAGGAUGGGCCCGCGUAUCAUUAGCUAGUUGGUGAGAUAACAGCCCACCAAGGCAACGAUGAUUAGCCGGUCUGAGAGGGCGAACGGCCACAUUGGAACUGAGAGACGGUCCAAACUCCUACGGGAGGCAGCAGUGGGGAAUAUUGCGCAAUGGAGAAGAACUCUGACGCAGCAAUACCGCGUGAGCGAAGAAGGUCUUCGGAUCGUAAAGCUCUGUUAUCAGGGAAGAAGAAAAUGACGGUACCUGAUGAGCAAGUCCCGGCUAACUACGUGCCAGCAGCCGCGGUAAUACGUAGGGGACAAGCGUUGUCCGGAAUCACUGGGCGUAAAGGGCGCGCAGGCGGUGAUUUAAGCAGGAUGUGAAAGGCUACGGCUCAACCGUAGACAUGCACCCUGAACUGGGUCACUUGAGUAUUGGAGAGGCAGGCAGAAUUCCUGGUGUAGCGGUGAAAUGCGUAGAUAUCAGGAGGAAUACCGGAGGCGAAGGCGGCCUGCUGGACAAAUACUGACGCUGAGGCGCGAAAGCGUGGGGAGCAAACAGGAUUAGAUACCCUGGUAGUCCACGCC
RNAcentral lists this ribosomal RNA (694 nucleotides) under uncultured bacterium. RNAcentral describes it as "bacterial SSU rRNA". It matches the Rfam family "Bacterial small subunit ribosomal RNA", at positions 94 to 801 of the family's 1533-position model. The record is from RNAcentral.